Molecule: ribosomal RNA, 497 nt
Filed under: uncultured bacterium
Lineage: Bacteria
Description: partial 16S ribosomal RNA
Rfam family: Bacterial small subunit ribosomal RNA
Source: RNAcentral
GAUGAACGCUGGCGGCGUGCCUAAUACAUGCAAGUCGAGCGAACGGACGAGAAGCUUGCUUCUCUGAUGUUAGCGGCGGACGGGUGAGUAACACGUGGAUAACCUACCUCUAAGACUGGGAUAACUUCGGGAAACCGGAGCUAAUACCGGAUAAUAUUUUGAACCGCAUGGUUCAAAAGUGAAAGACGGUCUUGCUGUCACUUAUAGACGGAUCCGCGCUGCAUUAGCUAGUUGGUAAGGUAACGGCUUACCAAGGCAAUGAUGCGUAGCCGACCUGAGAGGGUGAUCGGCCACACUGGAACUGAGACACGGUCCAGACUCCUACGGGAGGCAGCAGUGGGGAAUCUUCCGCAAUGGGCGAAAGCCUGACGCAGCAACGCCGCGUGAGUGAUGAAGGUCUUCGGAUCGUAAAACUCUGUUAUUAGGGAAGAACAUAUGUGUAAGUAACUGUGCACAUCUUGACGGUACCUAAUCAGAAAGCCACGGCUAACUACGUG